AUUCAGUCGACGAGUCCCAAGUGGGACGAAACGCGCAUCCUGGAU
This 45-nucleotide non-coding RNA is filed under the name Schistosoma haematobium. Lineage: Eukaryota; Metazoa; Platyhelminthes; Trematoda; Strigeidida; Schistosomatidae. The record is from RNAcentral.